RNAcentral lists this long non-coding RNA (237 nucleotides) under Elaeis guineensis (African oil palm). RNAcentral describes it as "long non-coding RNA (EGUI_LNC073922)". The record is from RNAcentral. Lineage: Eukaryota; Viridiplantae; Streptophyta; Magnoliopsida; Arecales; Arecaceae.
GCCAUAUAGGUCCUUACUACGUAUGUUGGUUAUAUAGGUUCAGGUUCGCUGUUUGGAGUAGGAUGCACCUAAAUGAAAUCUAUCAAUCUUGAUAAAAAGAAAAAUCCUAUACGAUCAUAAAACUGAGUUCAAAAAAAUCUCUGAUCAGAGUAAGUGUGAAUACUGAAAAAGAGUUUUCAUGAAAUUCAUAAAUGAACUCGAGUCGAGCCAAUCUAGCAUAUGACUAACGAUGGGAUU